Molecule: small nucleolar RNA, 108 nt
Organism: Perognathus longimembris pacificus (Pacific pocket mouse)
Lineage: Eukaryota; Metazoa; Chordata; Mammalia; Rodentia; Heteromyidae
Product: small nucleolar RNA U13
Exons: 1
Source: RefSeq, a predicted model, not a curated record
GUCCUUUUCUAGUUAUUAAGCAGGAUGAUUGGGUGACUUGUGUGACACUUGUGUGACAUAUGCCUUCCUCAAAUCUUGUUAUGAUGUGGGCACAUUACCCAUCUGACA